Molecule: small nuclear RNA, 343 nt
Filed under: Nannospalax galili (Upper Galilee mountains blind mole rat)
Lineage: Eukaryota; Metazoa; Chordata; Mammalia; Rodentia; Spalacidae
Description: 7SK RNA (ENSNGAG00000004179.1)
Rfam family: 7SK RNA (bases 1-304)
About the family: 7SK was discovered as an abundant small nuclear RNA in the mid-70s but a possible function has only recently been suggested. Two independent studies have found that 7SK RNA binds the CDK9/cyclin T complex (known as elongation factor P-TEFb).
Source: RNAcentral
GGAUACGAGAGCGAUCUGGCUGCGAUAUCUGUCAGGCCAUUGAUUGUCAGGGUUGAUUUGGCUGAUCUGGCUGGCUAGGCGAGUGUCCCCUUCCUCCCUCAGUGCUCUACGUGCGUCCCUCCCGAAGCUGUGCGCUUGGUCCAAGAGGACGGCCCUCCCAAUAGAGGAGGACUGGUCUUCAGUCAGGGGUAUACGAGUAGCUGCGCUCCCCUGCUAGAACCUCCAAACAAGCUCUCAAGAAUACAUAUUUGAAUGGGCAUAUAUGUGCCCUCUGUAAUGUACAUGUGUAUGUAUGCCUCCCCUGUGCUAUGUAUCUUUAUUUCCUGGCACAUGGGCAUUGUAU